UCUUUCAAUAUGAGAGUUUGAUCCUGGCUCAGAACGAACGCUGGCGGCAGGCCUAACACAUGCAAGUCGAACGCUCCGCAAGGGGAGUGGCAGACGGGUGAGUAACACGUGGGAAUCUUCCUAUUGGUAUGGAAUAGCUCAGGGAAACUUGGGGUAAUACCGUAUAAGCCCGAGAGGGGAAAGAUUUAUCGCCAAUAGAUGAGCCCGCGUCUGAUUAGCUAGUUGGUGAGGUAAUGGCUCACCAAGGCGACGAUCAGUAGCUGGUCUGAGAGGAUGAUCAGCCACACUGGGACUGAGACACGGCCCA
Molecule: ribosomal RNA, 307 nt
Filed under: Hyphomicrobium sp.
Lineage: Bacteria; Pseudomonadati; Pseudomonadota; Alphaproteobacteria; Hyphomicrobiales; Hyphomicrobiaceae
Description: partial 16S ribosomal RNA
Rfam family: Bacterial small subunit ribosomal RNA
Source: RNAcentral